This 460-nucleotide ribosomal RNA is filed under the name uncultured bacterium. RNAcentral's name for it is "partial 16S ribosomal RNA". It matches the Rfam family "Bacterial small subunit ribosomal RNA", at positions 338 to 795 of the family's 1533-position model. The record is from RNAcentral.
CCUACGGGAGGCAGCAGUGAGGAAUAUUGGUCAAUGGACGAGAGUCUGAACCAGCCAAGUAGCGUGAAGGAUGACUGCCCUAUGGGUUGUAAACUUCUUUUAUAUGGGACUAAAAUGUUCCACGUGUGGGAUUUUGUAUGUACCAUAUGAAUAAGGAUCGGCUAACUCCGUGCCAGCAGCCGCGGUAAUACGGAGGAUCCGAGCGUUAUCCGGAUUUAUUGGGUUUAAAGGGAGCGUAGGUGGAUUGUUAAGUCAGUUGUGAAAGUUUGCGGCUCAACCGUAAAAUUGCAGUUGAAACUGGCAGUCGUGAGUACAGUAGCGGUGGGCGGAAUUCGUGGUGUAGCGGUGAAAUGCUUAGAUAUCACGAAGAACUCCGAUUGCGAAGGCAGCUCACUGGACUGCAACUGACACUGAGGCUCGAAAGUGUGGGUAUCAAACAGGAUUAGAUACCCUUGUAGUC